Molecule: ribosomal RNA, 253 nt
Filed under: uncultured bacterium
Lineage: Bacteria
Description: partial 16S ribosomal RNA
Rfam family: Bacterial small subunit ribosomal RNA
Source: RNAcentral
UACGAAGGGGGCUAGCGUUGCUCGGAAUCACUGGGCGUAAAGCGCACGUAGGCGGCUUUUUAAGUCAGGGGUGAAAUCCUGGAGCUCAACUCCAGAACUGCCUUUGAUACUGGGAAGCUCGAGUCCGGAAGAGGUGAGUGGAACUGCGAGUGUAGAGGUGAAAUUCGUAGAUAUUCGCAAGAACACCAGUGGCGAAGGCGGCUCACUGGUCCGGUACUGACGCUGAGGUGCGAAAGCGUGGGGAGCAAACAGG